Molecule: non-coding RNA, 82 nt
Organism: Merops nubicus (carmine bee-eater)
Lineage: Eukaryota; Metazoa; Chordata; Aves; Coraciiformes; Meropidae
Source: Rfam
UGCCACAAUGAUGACCCAUAUUUGCUACUCUUGAUCAAGAGAAUGAUGAACACUUCAACCACCAUAACUUCUAUCUGAGGCA